UACGGAGGGUGCAAGCGUUAUCCGGAUUCACUGGGUUUAAAGGGUGCGUAGGUGGGUUGGUAAGUCAGUGGUGAAAUCUCCGAGCUUAACUUGGAAACUGCCAUUGAUACUAUCAGUCUUGAAUAUUGUGGAGGUCAGCGGAAUAUGUCAUGUAGCGGUGAAAUGCUUAGAGAUGACAUAGAACACCAAUUGCGAAGGCAGCUGGCUACACAUAUAUUGACACUGAGGCACGAAAGCGUGGGGAUCAAACAGG
Molecule: ribosomal RNA, 253 nt
Filed under: uncultured bacterium
Lineage: Bacteria
Description: partial 16S ribosomal RNA
Rfam family: Bacterial small subunit ribosomal RNA
Source: RNAcentral